Molecule: long non-coding RNA, 2092 nt
Organism: Heterocephalus glaber (naked mole-rat)
Lineage: Eukaryota; Metazoa; Chordata; Mammalia; Rodentia; Bathyergidae
Source: RefSeq, a predicted model, not a curated record
UGCCACGUGGCCCGGCCAUGGCGUCUGGAGAGACAGCGUUCCCGCAGCCACUCCCUUAGUCUCUCACCUGCCUUACCCUCUCCAAGCUCUUUGGCCUGUUGGGCCCCAGGUCCCUCAGUAUUGUGUUAUCAACAAACCAAAUGCGUGCCCAGCACUCGAACCUGCUCCAGUUUAGAGCUCACAGUUCGCAGAGUGCCCAGAACGGUCACCGUGUCCACAUCUCCUGGCGUGAUGAUUAGUUUCUCCCUUUCCCUCUCAACAGUGUCCCGAGUCAGACAGUAAGGUAUACAGUCGCUCUAAGGCUUCCUCUGGGCCGAGAUCCCUUCCGCCUUAGACUGACACCUGCAGGCGUACGAAACGGCUGUGUAUGAGAACAGCUCGGAAGAGAAGAAGGUGCAGGCUUCUCCCCAUGCACACCUCCGGUCCGGGGUCGCCUUCUGAGUCCGUUCAGGGCCUUCGGAAGGGGCAGCGACUGGGAAGUUUUCACUUGAAGACGCCACACCUGCCACUGCUGUGGUGUCCAGGGCUGUACUGAGCCGCGGAGUCAGGGGAACGCUCCGAAGAGUGUCCCCGCCUCUCCUCUUGUGACGGGAGGCACCUUCAGUGUUAGGUCAAAAUCGGAAGGCAGAGGCUUGGAGAGCUGCGGAGACUGGGUGGCAGACGCCAUGCGCGGGGUCCUCCCAGGCCCUGCCGCUGUCCGAAGAGGGCAGGGACGGCCUGGUGAGGACGGCAGGAGCGCGAGGCUGUGUUGUGGAUGGUCACAGCGACAGAGGCUUGGGUGGAGACAGGAGGGUCAGUUCCAAGGUUCAUCUGUUGGAAAUUGGGUGGCCCUGGUUCUGCUCCGACAGAGGAGACGCAGCCCGCGGAGGGCGAGGUGAACCACGGCAAGGCGAGGCUUCGUCCUCCUCCCCGCGUUCCAUCCCAUGCCGGUGUCCUGAUCUGAACAUCUGAAACAGCGCGAAGCACUUGCACAACGUGAUGUUCAGACUCAAGACAGCUUCAGGGAAAAAAAGAAGAAAAAAAAGAAACUCAGGAAUAAAGUGUCCCCUCUGAGACUGAAUGAGCUACACAUCUCGGCCCGCUGUGCCACAAAAGCUCCUAACUGUUUUAUCUGUACAGAUGGUUCUCAUUUGGUGUUGGUGGCACGACUCUGUGAGCAUAUUUGUUCCUGAUAAAACUGACUGAAGAACACAGGCUGAGCUCUGCAGUGAAGAGGACCUGCAAAUAUUCUCCACUCUGCAAUUAAACAUCACCCCUAACUUCAAACCUGCUCCCCCUACAUGCUGGGGAAACUCAGAGAGAAGCAGGGGCAGCAUUUGUAAGGGUUAUUUAGGGGACCAGAAGAGUGGGACGGGGGAAGGAAGGAAGUGAUUCUGCCUGUGGAAAUCCUUUCUCUGCUUGAAAAAAUAUCGCCGCACACAAAGACCAUAAACAGAGCCCCUGGAAGACUCCUCUGAGGAACUGUUUUGAAAGCUGGUCCAUGCUCCAGGUCAACAAGAAGGAAAGGGGCCUGGGCGUGGGGGUGACACAGCUCCCCUGUGGGGUGGCCGCCACCCGGCUCUGCUGCCUUUCCGCUCCGAAAACUUCCUCAAUCUGGGUCUCGCUUUUAGAUAAUAAACAUUUGUUAUCCUUGUCCUCGUUAGCUAAAUUUUAUAAGGAGGAAAAUAAGCUAAACAAAGCGAAGAAGUUGUAUACCUGAAAACCUAUCUGUACCCGGCCGGAAUGCAAGGAAGGAAAGGCCUGAGAUUUAUUUUUAUAAACAUCAUAAUAAAUAACAGAUCUCAACCUCGGGGUAUAAACAGCGUCUGACGCGUGCACCAGGCCCGGCAGGGUUGGGUGCAGGAGCCCAGGCCGCCUUCGCUGGCUCACCUGUGCCUCAUUGCUCUCCGAAGUGGGAUUUGUAUGCCAGACCCUUCCCUCCCUCGGGUCCUGCCCCCGGCCUCCUCCGGGCCAGCGCGGGGAUUGUCCGCCCGGGAAGACACCUGACGAGGCCGGCGGCUUCCUGGCUUCCUUCCUCCGCCGACUCCAGGCCCGUGGCCCCACAGAUGUUCUCCCUGGGUUUGUUUUGAUAGCCUGUUUUUAAAACAGUUCA